Molecule: transfer RNA, 71 nt
Filed under: Loxodonta africana (African savanna elephant)
Lineage: Eukaryota; Metazoa; Chordata; Mammalia; Proboscidea; Elephantidae
Rfam family: tRNA
About the family: Transfer RNA (tRNA) molecules are approximately 80 nucleotides in length. Their secondary structure includes four short double-helical elements and three loops (D, anti-codon, and T loops).
Source: Rfam by way of RNAcentral
GCAGUGGUAGUUCAGUGGUAGGAUUCUUGCCUUCCAUGCAGCAGACCCUGGUUCGAUUCCCGGCCAGUGCG